RNAcentral lists this unclassified non-coding RNA (395 nucleotides) under soil metagenome. RNAcentral describes it as "partial contains 5.8S ribosomal RNA, internal transcribed spacer 2, and large subunit ribosomal RNA". The stretch from base 1 to 120 matches the Rfam family "5.8S ribosomal RNA", at positions 35 to 154 of the family's 154-position model. The record is from RNAcentral.
GAUGAAGAACGUAGCGAAAUGCGAUAAGUAAUGUGAAUUGCAGAAUUCAGUGAAUCAUCGAAUCUUUGAACGCACCUUGCGCCUUUUGGUAUUCCGAAAGGCACACCUGCUUGAGCGUCAUGAAUACCUCAAUCUCCAUCUUUUCUUCGGAUUGAUGGGUGACUUGGAUGUUGAGCCCUGCUGGUAUGCUAUAUCAGCUGGCUUUAAACUUAUUAGCCGGCUCUGUACUGGAUCGGUUUGACUCGACGUGAUAAUAUUAUCGUUGAGGAUGCAUGUCUCAUGCAGCCGGAAAGUAUCAAAGCAGCUUCUAGCUUGCCUUUAGUGCACUUUUACAUUUUAGACCUCAGAUCAGGUGGGACUACCCGCUGAACUUAAGCAUAUCAAUAAGCGGAGGA